RNAcentral lists this ribosomal RNA (460 nucleotides) under uncultured bacterium. Its description in RNAcentral is "partial 16S ribosomal RNA". It matches the Rfam family "Bacterial small subunit ribosomal RNA", at positions 338 to 795 of the family's 1533-position model. The record is from RNAcentral.
CCUACGGGUGGCAGCAGUGAGGAAUAUUGGUCAAUGGACGAGAGUCUGAACCAGCCAAGUAGCGUGAAGGAUUACUGCCCUAUGGGUUGUAAACUUCUUUUAUAUGGGAAUAAAACGUUCCACGUGUGGGAUUUUGUAUGUACCAUAUGAAUAAGGAUCGGCUAACUCCGUGCCAGCAGCCGCGGUAAUACGGAGGAUCCGAGCGUUAUCCGGAUUUAUUGGGUUUAAAGGGAGCGUAGGUGGAUUGUUAAGUCAGUUGUGAAAGUUUGCGGCUCAACCGUAAAAUUGCAGUUGAAACUGGCAGUCUUGAGUACAGUAGAGGUGGGCGGAAUUCGUGGUGUAGCGGUGAAAUGCUUAGAUAUCACGAAGAACUCCGAUUGCGAAGGCAGUUCACUGGACUGCAACUGACACUGAGGCUCGAAAGUGUGGGUAUCAAACAGGAUUAGAUACCCCAGUAGUC